UUCCGUAGGGUGACCUGCGGAGGGAUCAUUACCGAGUUUACAACUCCCAAACCCCUGUGAACAUACCACUUGUUGCCUCGGCGGAUCAGCCCGCUCCCGGUAAAACGGGACGGCCCGCCAGAGGACCCCUAAACUCUGUUUCUAUAUGUAACUUCUGAGUAAAACCAUAAAUAAAUCAAAACUUUCAACAACGGAUCUCUUGGUUCUGGCAUCGAUGAAGAACGCAGCAAAAUGCGAUAAGUAAUGUGAAUUGCAGAAUUCAGUGAAUCAUCGAAUCUUUGAACGCACAUUGCGCCCGCCAGUAUUCUGGCGGGCAUGCCUGUUCGAGCGUCAUUUCAACCCUCAAGCACAGCUUGGUGUUGGGACUCGCGUUAAUUCGCGUUCCUCAAAUUGAUUGGCGGUCACGUCGAGCUUCCAUAGCGUAGUAGUAAAACCCUCGUUACUGGUAAUCGUCGCGGCCACGCCGUUAAACCCCAACUUCUGAAUGUGACCUCGAUCAGGUAGAAGCCCCGGCCC
RNAcentral lists this ribosomal RNA (516 nucleotides) under Fusarium oxysporum. RNAcentral describes it as "eukaryotic LSU rRNA". The stretch from base 180 to 333 matches the Rfam family "5.8S ribosomal RNA". The record is from RNAcentral. Lineage: Eukaryota; Fungi; Ascomycota; Sordariomycetes; Hypocreales; Nectriaceae.